This 803-nucleotide ribosomal RNA is filed under the name Serratia marcescens. Its description in RNAcentral is "bacterial SSU rRNA". It matches the Rfam family "Bacterial small subunit ribosomal RNA", at positions 38 to 829 of the family's 1533-position model. Lineage: Bacteria; Pseudomonadati; Pseudomonadota; Gammaproteobacteria; Enterobacterales; Yersiniaceae. The record is from RNAcentral.
AGCUGCUGCGGCUUACACAUGCAAGUCGAGCGGUAGCACAAGGGAGCUUGCUCCCUGGGUGACGAGCGGCGGACGGGUGAGUAAUGUCUGGGAAACUGCCUGAUGGAGGGGGAUAACUACUGGAAACGGUAGCUAAUACCGCAUAACGUCGCAAGACCAAAGAGGGGGACCUUCGGGCCUCUUGCCAUCAGAUGUGCCCAGAUGGGAUUAGCUAGUAGGUGGGGUAAUGGCUCACCUAGGCGACGAUCCCUAGCUGGUCUGAGAGGAUGACCAGCCACACUGGAACUGAGACACGGUCCAGACUCCUACGGGAGGCAGCAGUGGGGAAUAUUGCACAAUGGGCGCAAGCCUGAUGCAGCCAUGCCGCGUGUGUGAAGAAGGCCUUCGGGUUGUAAAGCACUUUCAGCGAGGAGGAAGGUGGUGAACUUAAUACGUUCAUCAAUUGACGUUACUCGCAGAAGAAGCACCGGCUAACUCCGUGCCAGCAGCCGCGGUAAUACGGAGGGUGCAAGCGUUAAUCGGAAUUACUGGGCGUAAAGCGCACGCAGGCGGUUUGUUAAGUCAGAUGUGAAAUCCCCGGGCUCAACCUGGGAACUGCAUUUGAAACUGGCAAGCUAGAGUCUCGUAGAGGGGGGUAGAAUUCCAGGUGUAGCGGUGAAAUGCGUAGAGAUCUGGAGGAAUACCGGUGGCGAAGGCGGCCCCCUGGACGAAGACUGACGCUCAGGUGCGAAAGCGUGGGGAGCAAACAGGAUUAUAUACCCUGGUAGUCCACGCUGUAAACGAUGUCGAUUUGGAGGUUGUGC